GGGCUUUAACUGACGCUGAGGCACGAAAGCGUGGGUAGCAAACAGGAUUAGAUACCCUGGUAGUCCACGCUGUAAACGAUGAUUACUAGGUGUGGGUGGACUGACCCCAUCCGUGCCGCAGUUAACACAAUAAGUAAUCCACCUGGGGAGUACGGCCGCAAGGUUGAAGCUCAAAGGAAUUGACGGGGGCCCGCACAAGCAGUGGAGUAUGUGGUUUAAUUCGAAGCAACGCGAAGAACCUUACCAGGUCUUGACAUCGAGUGACGUAUCUAGAGAUAGGUAUUUCCUUCGGGACACGAAGACAGGUGGUGCAUGGUUGUCGUCAGCUCGUGUCGUGAGAUGUUGGGUUAAGUCCCGCAACGAGCGCAACCCUUGCUAUUAGUUGCUACGCAAGAGCACUCUAAUAGGACUGCCGUUGACAAAACGGAGGAAGGUGGGGACGACGUCAAAUCAUCAUGCCCCUUAUGACCUGGGCUACACACGUACUACAAUGGUCGUUAACAGGGGGAAGCAAUACAGCGAUGUGGAGCAAACCCCUAAAAGCGGUCUCAGUUCAGAUGCAGGCUGCAACCCGCCUGCAUGAAGUCGGAAUGCUAGUAA
RNAcentral lists this ribosomal RNA (600 nucleotides) under uncultured bacterium. RNAcentral describes it as "bacterial SSU rRNA". It matches the Rfam family "Bacterial small subunit ribosomal RNA", at positions 731 to 1341 of the family's 1533-position model. The record is from RNAcentral.